UAGCUGGGCAGUAGUUAGUCUCAUAUUCAGCCACUACUGUUUCAUCAUAAUCC
This 53-nucleotide small RNA is filed under the name Arabidopsis thaliana (thale cress). RNAcentral describes it as "ATSL011550". The record is from RNAcentral. Lineage: Eukaryota; Viridiplantae; Streptophyta; Magnoliopsida; Brassicales; Brassicaceae.